This 72-nucleotide transfer RNA is filed under the name bioreactor metagenome. RNAcentral's name for it is "tRNA-Gly". It matches the Rfam family "tRNA". From Rfam's summary of the family: Transfer RNA (tRNA) molecules are approximately 80 nucleotides in length. Their secondary structure includes four short double-helical elements and three loops (D, anti-codon, and T loops). RNAcentral also lists the same sequence under 1 other name. The record is from RNAcentral.
GCGGGUGUAGCUUAGUGGCAGAGUUCCGGCUUCCCAAGCCGGCUGUGUGGGUUCGAUUCCCAUCACCCGCUC